RNAcentral lists this microRNA precursor (105 nucleotides) under Phaseolus vulgaris (common bean). RNAcentral's name for it is "MIR1512 microRNA precursor family". It matches the Rfam family "MIR1512 microRNA precursor family". Lineage: Eukaryota; Viridiplantae; Streptophyta; Magnoliopsida; Fabales; Fabaceae. The record is from Rfam by way of RNAcentral.
UCUUGAUGCCUAACUGAAUAUUCUUAAAGCCUUACCAUUGUUAAGGCAACAUCAUUGUGAUGUGAAAAAUGGGAAUGCUUUAAGAAUUUCAGUUAUGCAUCAAUC